This 206-nucleotide ribosomal RNA is filed under the name uncultured bacterium. RNAcentral describes it as "partial 16S ribosomal RNA". It matches the Rfam family "Bacterial small subunit ribosomal RNA", at positions 568 to 774 of the family's 1533-position model. The record is from RNAcentral.
AGCGUAGACGGUGUGGCAAGUCUGAUGUGAAAGGCAUGGGCUCAGCCUGUGGACUGCAUUGGAAACUGUCAUACUUGAGUGCCGGAGGGGUAAGCGGAAUUCCUAGUGUAGCGGUGAAAUGCGUAGAUAUUAGGAGGAACACCAGUGGCGAAGGCGGCUUACUGGACGGUAACUGACGUUGAGGCUCGAAAGCGUGGGAGCAAACA